UAGCCUGCCCACUGAAUUAUUUUUAAAGGGCCGCGGUAUACUGACCGUGCGAAGGUAGCAUAAUCAUUAGUCUUUUAAUUGAAGGCUUGUAUGAAUGGUUGGACAAAAAGUAAUCUGUCUCAGUUAUAAUAGUUGAACUUAACUUUUAAGUGAAAAGGCUUAAAUACUUUAAGGGGACGAUAAGACCCUAUAAAACUUAACAAUAAUUUGAUUAAAUUAUAAAUUGUUAGUAUAACUUGAUUUUAAUUAAUGUUUGUUGCGUUGGGGCGACGGGAAUAUAAUUAGUAACUGUUCUUAAAUAUUUUAUUAACAAGUAUAAUUGAAGAAUAAUUGAUCCUUUAUUAAAGAUUAAAAGAUUAAGUUACUUUAGGGAUAACAGCGUAAUCUUCUUUGAGAGUCCUCAUCGACAAGAAGGUUUGCGACCUCGAUGUUGAAUUAAGGUAUCCUUAUAAUGCAGCAGUUAUAAAGGA
This 470-nucleotide ribosomal RNA is filed under the name Penaeus monodon (black tiger shrimp). Its description in RNAcentral is "partial 16S ribosomal RNA". It matches the Rfam family "Bacterial large subunit ribosomal RNA", at positions 1855 to 2571 of the family's 2925-position model. Lineage: Eukaryota; Metazoa; Arthropoda; Malacostraca; Decapoda; Penaeidae. The record is from RNAcentral.